RNAcentral lists this ribosomal RNA (784 nucleotides) under Limatus durhamii. Its description in RNAcentral is "12S ribosomal RNA". The record is from RNAcentral. Lineage: Eukaryota; Metazoa; Arthropoda; Insecta; Diptera; Culicidae.
UAUUUUGGUUAAUUUUUUUAUUAUUAAAUUAUUUUACAUGUAAAUUUUUGUGAGGAAAUUUAUUAUUUUCAAUAGAUAAUAUUUAAAUUAAUAUUCGCAGUAAUUAAUAUUAAAUAAAAAAGAAAUUUUGUUUUAGUAAUUAUAAAUUAUAGUAUUGGUUAAAUUUGUGCCAGCUACCGCGGUUAUACAAAUAAUACAAGUAAAAAUUUUUUGGUUAUAAUUAAAUAUAUUAAAUUUUAAUAUGUUUAUAAAUUUAUUAAGUGAAAUUUUUAAAUUUAUUUAUUUAUUAAUAAAAAAAAAUUAUUGAAGUUAUAAAAAUUUUAUAAUAAACUAGGAUUAGAUACCCUAUUAUUAAAAUUAAAUAGAAAUAAAUCAAAGUAGUAUUAGAUAUAUUCUUAAAAUUUAAAAAAUUUGGCGGUAUUUUAGUCUAUUCAGAGGAAUCUGUUCUAUAAUUGAUAAUCCACAUUGAACCUUACUUAAAUUUGUUUAAUUUGUAUAUCGUUGUCAUCAGAAUAUAUUAUAAGAUAAAAUUUUCUUAAUAUUAAUAAAAUAAAAUGUCAGAUCAAGGUGCAGUUUAUGUUUAAGUAGAAAUGGAUUACAAUAAAUUUAUUUAAAUGGAUUAUUUUUUGAAAUAAAAAUAUAAAAGUGGAUUUGAUAGUAAAAAAAAAAAGAUUAUUUUUUUGAUUUUAGCUCUAAAAUAUGUACAUAUCGCCCAUCGUUCUUAUUUUUAAAAUAAGAUAAGUUGUAACAUAGUAGAUGUACUGGAAAGUGUAUCUAGAAUGAC